AAUCUUGUAUCAAACUGUACAAAAAAAGAGAGCAAAUAUCUGAUUAGUAGCUAAAGCUGAGAAAGGUAUCACUUAUACAACAUACACCUGUAAUAUAUCAU
Long non-coding RNA from Haliotis rubra (blacklip abalone), 101 nucleotides. RefSeq lists it as uncharacterized. Lineage: Eukaryota; Metazoa; Mollusca; Gastropoda; Lepetellida; Haliotidae. The record is from RefSeq and is a predicted model, not a curated record. The transcript has 3 exons.